UGGCCAGGCGAGGUGGCCACCUAGCUCGCCGGAGCGUUGCCUGGCACUCUAUGGCCUUGGAGAAAGCUAUACGUCAUUGUGUUCGGCCUGCAGAUGCUGGCCAUGGCAGGACUCCCUAAGCUCGCAGUCUUUGAUCUGGAUUACACGCUCUGGCCUUUCUGGGUCGACACGCACGUAGACCCCCCAUUCCACCGGAGCAGUGAUGGAAUUGUACGAGAUAGCCGGGGCCAUAUCGUCCGACUAUACCCAGAUGUGCCUGAGAUCAUGGUACGUCUACAGGGACUUGGGGUGCCCGUCGCAGCCGCUUCCCGGACUGGUGAGAUUGAAGGGGCCAACCAGCUACUAGAGGUCUUUGACCUUGUCAAAUAUUUUGUUUAUCGGGAAAUCUAUCCAGGCAGCAAGGUCACCCACUUUAAGAGGUUGCAGCAGAAGACUGGAGUUUCUUUCUCCCAGAUGAUCUUCUUUGAUGAUGAGAAGCGGAAUAUUGUGGACAUCAGCACACUGGGUACUGAGUCGUGAGGACAGCCAUUUGGGGAAUGAGGAGUAAGGUAGAUUUGUACAGAAUGGAUAGUCUGCCUGACAGGGUGUUACCUGCAUUCAUGUCCAGAAAGGAAUGACUCUUCAAACCCUAACUCUAGGAUUAGAGACAUUUGCAAAGGUCCAACCAGGAUCCUAAGGUCCAGCCCUGUGGGGAUGAAUCUCAUUUGAGUCAUAAAACAGAAAAGAG
RNA transcript from Choloepus didactylus (southern two-toed sloth), 727 nucleotides. It is a transcript of the gene named magnesium-dependent phosphatase 1-like, with no coding region annotated. The transcript is spliced from 6 exons. The record is from RefSeq and is a predicted model, not a curated record. NCBI's taxonomy places the organism in Eukaryota, Metazoa, Chordata, Mammalia, Pilosa, Megalonychidae.